CUUGACCUCGGAUCAGGUAGGGAUACCCGCUGAACUUAA
This 39-nucleotide ribosomal RNA is filed under the name Didymella macrostoma. RNAcentral describes it as "partial 26S ribosomal RNA". The record is from RNAcentral. Lineage: Eukaryota; Fungi; Ascomycota; Dothideomycetes; Pleosporales; Didymellaceae. RNAcentral also lists the same sequence under 16 other names.